GGGGACGUAGCUCAGCUGGCUAGAGCACCUGCUUUGCAAGCAGGGGGUCGUGGGUUCGAGUCCCACCGUCUCCA
Molecule: transfer RNA, 74 nt
Filed under: Ilumatobacteraceae bacterium
Lineage: Bacteria; Bacillati; Actinomycetota; Acidimicrobiia; Acidimicrobiales; Ilumatobacteraceae
Description: tRNA-Ala
Rfam family: tRNA
About the family: Transfer RNA (tRNA) molecules are approximately 80 nucleotides in length. Their secondary structure includes four short double-helical elements and three loops (D, anti-codon, and T loops).
Source: RNAcentral